Lonchura striata (white-rumped munia) is the source of this 302-nucleotide non-coding RNA. The record is from RefSeq and is a predicted model, not a curated record. Lineage: Eukaryota; Metazoa; Chordata; Aves; Passeriformes; Estrildidae.
CCUUGUCAUCUCUGCAGCAAGGGAAGAAAAAGCCAAAUCUCUGAAAAUUUCUAUUUCAAAUCUGCAGAAGUUCCUUAAUACAGCAUCACCUUUUUCCCCCAGUGGCCUCAACACUUCUCCAGCUCUUCCUGGAAUUCAGAAGCCUGCUCCCAGCCUUCAGAAGUCAUGGCAGUGCACCACGUCCCACCAGAUUCUGCCAAGAAGAAGAAGGAUCAAAAGCCAGGGAACCUCAGGAAAACGGGAAGAUGGACAGGACAAACACAGAUCUGAACCAAUGUGGUUAAUCAAACGUUCUCCCUUUA